Zingiber officinale is the source of this 893-nucleotide long non-coding RNA. RefSeq lists it as uncharacterized. The transcript has 5 exons. The record is from RefSeq and is a predicted model, not a curated record. Lineage: Eukaryota; Viridiplantae; Streptophyta; Magnoliopsida; Zingiberales; Zingiberaceae.
GACCCUCACGAUCCCGAUCUCUUCUUCCCCGAUCUCCCCUUCUUCCUUCUCUGUUCUCUCUCUCUCGGACGAGCGACGGUGACGGGAGCAAGGCUCCAGCUCCGGUGAUCUUCCUUUACCAGCGCCGGCGGCCGUUGAGCACAGAUCCAGGCGGCGCUGUUCCUCUCCGGAUCGCAGGCAUGGCGUCGCAUCUUCUCUAGCCGACCUUGCUUCCCCGAUCCGACGCUACUGGAUCGAUCCAGAUCCGCCCGAUCGUCAGCAUGGAAGGAACAUUAGGGUCUUGAGGGGAUCCUAUAUCAGAUCUUGGAUCCAAUCUUCGUUCUUGUUAAUUUGGGGACAGAAGAAUUCCUGGUACGUUGCUUCACGGAUCAGAUGGGGCGACGUUUUCUGGAGACGAUCGAUUGAGGUUUCGGUUGAUGAUGAUGGGAUCAAUUGAGUUGUUGGGCAGAGGAUUGAAGGGUUGAUUGAUGUCUUGGAUUGCUUGAUUUGAGAUCAGUGAUCUGCUUGUUGAUCUCUUCUCUUGAUCCGAUCAGUGAGGUGAGUUCUGUUGCUGUGAGGCUGGGAUUGUGAUCUUUGAGGUGUAUCCAGCAGCUUUCCCUAACCGGCAGCAACCCCUUUGGUUGUGAUCUAUUGGUGAUCACCUUGGAUUCGAGGAGUCUGAUUUGAGACAGGCGUCUCGACGUUGACUUCGGAUUUGGAUUGUACCUUCUAUUUCAAGCGGGUUGAGGCCGUCAGGAGAGAUUCCAGUCGCUAGGCCCUUUGUCGCGAAGAUUUCUAGAUAUCAUUUUCUGUAUUCGCUUUUAUUCGUAUACUUGUGAUGUGGGUUUGUAUUGUGGACUUUAUAUUGAACAUUCGGGUUUGCUACUUUGUUUUCCGCUGCGAAUAUUUCAUUA